GCCCUUGUGGUGAAAUUGGUAGACACGUCAGAUUUAGGAUCUGGUGCGAGAGCAUAUCGGUUCGAGUCCGAUCAAGGGCA
This 80-nucleotide transfer RNA is filed under the name Pleurastrosarcina brevispinosa. RNAcentral describes it as "Chlorosarcina brevispinosa tRNA-Leu". It matches the Rfam family "tRNA". From Rfam's summary of the family: Transfer RNA (tRNA) molecules are approximately 80 nucleotides in length. The record is from RNAcentral. Lineage: Eukaryota; Viridiplantae; Chlorophyta; Trebouxiophyceae.